Molecule: long non-coding RNA, 16677 nt
Filed under: Cucumis sativus (cucumber)
Lineage: Eukaryota; Viridiplantae; Streptophyta; Magnoliopsida; Cucurbitales; Cucurbitaceae
Description: long non-coding RNA (CSAT_LNC001344)
Source: RNAcentral
AAAGGAUAAGUCUCACAAAAUUCUAUUUUUGAAAAAAUGAAUAUCAGUUGAAUUUUGUUGAACUCAGGAAACGAGAGACAAAAGUAGAGAGGUAAAGGUUUUGCUUUUUUGACUAACCAAAUAAAAGAACUUACUCUCUCCAUCACAAGAAACAGCAGAAUAAGACAGGAUAGUGGGAUUAUAUAGGUGGGUGGGUGAAGUCAGAGAUCAAAGUUUUGAUCUUUUCUCUUUACAGGCACACCAUAAGAAUUGAACGGACAAAUAAUCAAAAUCACCAUUUUUCAAGUCAAAUGGUACUCUGUCAUCAAAUUCUCAGGUUAGAGCUUGAGCUUGAAACAGAUAAGGACAAUAUCUCGAUCGGUACAAAGCUUGUUCGAUGGAAUUCGAAUCCGAAUGAGAUUUUGUUGUCUUAAUAUUAGUUAAAAGAAAAUAUAUAUGAACUAAACGAUUCAAUAACUAAUUCAACAAAGAAUAUACAGAAAAGUGGGGGAAAGAGAGAUUAGGGGCAAUAUGCUCAUUCAUUUAGUUUUAGGUUAUUUUCAUUGUUUUUGAAAUCUAAGUUAAAGGAAAAUUUGAUCUAGUCUAAUUUGUCAUGUUCCUACUUUCUGAGUAAGUGUUUCAAACAAAAGACCAAUUCAUAAACAUGAAACAAAUACAGUGAGCGUUUUCUUCUUCAUUCAAAACCUUCCAUGCCACAGCUUUCUCAUAGGAUACUGCCCUUCCCAUGCUUGAUAAGCAGACACCCCCUUGAAGACAAAUGAAGCCCUAAAAUAACACAAAAAAAAUGGAUUACUUAAAUGAAUGGUCCAGGUAAGGAUGCUUGUGGAUACAAACUAAUGAAUUAAGAUUUUUGCCUAAUCCAGGGCAAGCAUGCUUGUGGAUAUGAACUAAUCAAAUUACUCAUGGUAAAAAUACAAAAAGAAUUGCAGAUCGUUGUCUAUCAUUUGUUUGGCUAUCAUUGGGUUCGUAGGGAAAGAAGGGAUUCGUUGGCUAUACCUGCUGCAUUAUCCGUGGGAACUCUGAAGCUAAAGUUUUCUUUCCAUUGUCAUCAAAAAUCUUCUCCAGAGUGAUGUCUUGGAGAGCCACCAGGGUUGUCUCAAGCAUGUCAAGUCCAGAUUGAUUUGCAAAUGUAAAAUUUGGCAAUGCCUGGGGAUGUUCACAAGAUAGGAUAUAACUUCAUGUAAAAACAGAGAAAAGUGAAGACUUGAGUAAAUUACAAAUGGAAGCAUACUAUUCAACAAAAACCUUAAGCAUGGCACCAUGUUCAUUAGGCUUUAGUUCUGUACAUUUUAUUUUUUAGUUUUUGGAAUCUUCCAUUUAUCUUAAUCAAGGUUGGAGUCUCUUUUUUUUUCACUUUAAAAAAAGAUCUUACUAUAGGCAGAGAUAUCUCUGAUAUUUAACUUCAAAGAGAAUUUUAAACAUACCUUCAAAGAGCAGCACAUGACUGCAUCUGAGUGAUGCCAAAGGGAUUUCAGAACGGACUCUCUUCCUUCAUUUUUCAGUAAUUCCAUGCCCAUAUAGCACCUGUAGGGAAGAAUAAAAGUAGAUUGGAAUCCUUCUAUUAGCCUCUUGCCUUAUAACAUAUGUAUAAGAGAAUAAAGCCAAGGAGGGAUGAAUGAGUUUAGUUCACAGUAGUAAGAAUGCCAGAUACUCUAGCUUGGUUAAGACUUUUGAGAAGACACGUGUAAGCGAAUCAAAAUCAAUUCAAGACAGAAUUCAAAAUCUAUGACAGAAAACAAAAGGGAUCAAGACUUUUAGAAAAGACAUAAUCAAAUUCUUAGGUUUAUGUUUGAACGCAGAACUUCUAUACUUCACUAAAAUAUGAACACCGUUCAUAUUCAGGCAUUAUAAUGUUGAACUUCCUAGUUCACAAGGUUGUAAUUAGGGAAGCAAUUGGUUCAAUAAAAUAAUUACUAGAAUGCAAUGGAUUCCAAGAUACAAAUAAUUGGUUUACAUUAGAGAAGACAUAUGUCUAUGUUCUAUUAGAUACUGACCAUUUUUUAAUACCAAAGAUAUUGAUUGAUAUACAGGAACAAAAGGUAGAUCUAAUCCACCCUACUACUCGAUAGGCUUCCUCCUAUUUUGUCAUUAAAGUAAUUUUGAAUUGAAUAUUGAAUGAAAAUAUUAACAGCUAAGGAUUUUUUGGAAUACCUAUAGCUUUGAGUGAUCCAACGAGCAAGUGUUUGUGCUUCAGGAGCACCAGCUGGUGUCUGAAGGUUAGCAUGAGGACCAAAAUUUGAAGGGGAAAGAGCCAGUGCCACCCUUUGAACAGAUGCUAUAAUGCUCCUGACAUAUUGCCGUGCCAUUGCUGCAACAUUAUCUUGAAGGUGAACAUCAAAUACAAAUUGGAAUGCAAUUGUCAUCACAGAUUUUGAUUUUCCUGAUUGACCAGCGCAAUCACCAGAAGCUCUAUUCCCUGCAGGUCCAACAUCAAGAGCCGAAGCAAGAUCGAGUGUGCGGUUUGGACUUGAAGCAUCCUGUAGAAUAAGCAAAUGUACAAAUUUUAUAUCCAAACGAAUACAAUUGCAGAGAAUGGAGAGGAGAAAAUAGGAGAAUUGCUUUUAAAUGCUUACCAUCCCAGAAUCGAGAGGAAUGAUGCGGAAUCCAGAUGGUAGAAUAGGUGCAUCAUCAGAAAAAGAGGCAUCAAUUGGAGCAAAGAUGAGUUCAGCCGAAGUACCAACUGUAUUUUCGUCCACACCGUUGCAAAGCUGCGAGUAGAGCGCCAUAAUUAAUAACAGUGGUCAGUGACAAAUGACAACAUAGAUUUGAGAUGUACAGCACAAGUAUCCAUCUAAGCUUUAUAAUAUGAGAUUCUAGCUUAAACCCAGACUCAAUAGUUGACAUUAAUUUAUAUAAUUAAAGAAAUUACUGCUUACUUGGAGGAGGAAAAUGUCACCAGGCAUAAGCAUAUCAUCCCUAUAAUGGCCCACGUUUUCAAAUUUAACAACUUCCAUAAACUGUUACCAGAAAGAAAAUUUAAAUCAAUAUUUUGAAAUAACAAAGAAAACAUGGGGUAAUAGGAUAUGUUAUACACAAAAUUGAUGCCAUGGGAAGUUAUUUCUGUUUAUAGAUGGUUGAAAAGACGGUACUUGCCUCUUCAUGCUCAACUGUUUGCGCCAAGGGAAGAAUAACCUGACCCCCAAAAGUUCCAGCAUGAGACCCUGGUAAACCACACUGACCGGUCUUAAUUGCUGCUGCUGAGUAAGCAUCAAUACUGCUGUCUGCCCAUUCCGAUCGGUGUUCUCUCAAGAACCUGAUGAGCAUUGCUGGAGUAACAUUCUACAAAAUAAGAAAGAUAGCAAGAACAAUAAGAGAAACGAAGAGCAGGUAAAAAUAUACAAGAAUAAAAGCUUCCAAAGAAAUAUCUUGUGCUGAGAGUGGUUAAGCAUAAACUUGGUAAAGAAAAACUAGCUAACACAAUGUUAGUGUCAGUUGGGUGAGGUUUAACCUCAGUCGGAUUUUUAUUUAAACUCUUUCAUAAAAGAUCACUUGUUUUCCAUCAGCAUACAGUGUCCAAGGCAUGUCCUAGUUUUGAAUCAUCAGAAAUGGAGCAAAAAUAGAGAAGAUGGCACUGGUUGAAAAAGAGAAUUCUCCAAUAUUUAUGAUUGAUGAAGUGGUAGAACGAUUUGAUGUAUUAUAAUAUAGAACCUUCUCAAUUGCUCAACAUCAUCUACAUGUCAGCUCGCUAGCAAAAUAUUUACCUGUAAUAACAUUGACGCUUUGGCACAAAGCACAGCAUUGCUCAUGGAUGGAAAGCCAUUAGAAUAUGAAAUAUUUGCACCCAUCAUUGUCUUGCCAUGAGACAUGUUUACAAGAAGUGUAACAUCAUCAACGCCAUCAUUUUCUAACAAAGACCAUCCCUCAUCUGUAAACCCAUUAACUGCUUCGUUGAAACCUCUGCAGAGUAAAAUCCGUUGAAUACAAUUAAGGAUUCCACACCCAAAAGUGAAGGGAAUGUUUAAAAAUAAUAUGGGCUACUUCCAUUGCCACAUGGUUGUAAGAUGGAACCCCAUGCUUCUCUAAUAAGCUACUCUCGAGCCAAAAUCAUAUUUACCUGCUCAAUUUCUGACUAAGAGCACGAAGUGCAGCAGGUCUUCUUCCCCAACCAGUAACAUUUGGUUGAGAAACUUCUUGUGAAAUCUGCCUCAACAAGCGUAAUGCCUGGUCCAAAAUAACGAAAUUUUAUUGUUAUUGGGGAUACAAUCUUCAAAUUUACAUGGCUGUUCAAUUUCCAGUUUUCCAUUUAUAGAGCCAUCGGAUAAAUUCAAGACCUGAAGCAAUAAGAUGAAAAGAAAAAAAAGACUUACUGCCAUUGUGUUCUUCUGAGCAAGCAGAGUAGAUGACUUGUACAAUGGCCGCAAUACUUCAGGCACGCUCCAAGGCUAUAUUCAUGUAAACAAUAGGUAAAAUUAUAAACGUGAAAAUCAGAGGCUAAGGAUAACUGUACUUUUAAAUUCAAAGUUUUACAUACGUCUAAGUCCAUGUGAUCGACUAUAUGGAUUAUUGAUCCACCACCUUCACAAGGUCUUAUCAAAUAGCCACUUGGUAGCAUUUCUGCUCUUACAAAGUUUUGGACUGGAGGCAUACUUGGACCAUUCUGAGUAUUGUUGAGAGAUCUUUCACAGACCUAAAAUGCAUAACACAGCAUAUUACAUAAAACAUUUAGACCAAAGUAGCAGAAGCAAUGUCCAAGGUGAGGCCAUUCACAUACCACAAGACUACCAUCCUCCAAAACCGAUGUGUAUCGCAGCAGCCAGAAAUCACGAGCAGGUGCCAAAGUAGUAGGUGCAUAGAGCUAAACCAAAUCAACAAAAGUUUUUUUCAUUUUCAUAUUUUCUUGCAAAGUCUGCAAAUUUGAUACAAGCAAUCUAGUAUCUAGUAGUAACCCACCUGCAUGUACAGAAGCUCAAUGGUUCCUCCAUUUCCAGUAGAUAGGACAUUUAGAACAUCAACGGCACGGCAAUCGCGAAACCAAGAAGGCCAAUCUUUAAGAAUUUCAGCCACCUUCAUGAAACAAACAAUAUAAAUUAGAUACACUCAUACGUGAUGAUACAUUAGACAAAAAGUUAAUUACUUUGUGUUUAGAAGCACUUACUCUUGUAGGUUCUAGACCCACAAGUCCGCAUGCACGAGCAGCAACUCCAGUGCAUCCAUGAGAAAUAGCAACGAUUCCAAUGGAAUCCGGACCAGGCUGCUCACAACAGACAUUGAUAAAAAUCAGAAAUUUUGAGAAUAACAAUUUUGAAAUUUUUUUCGCCUUUUAUUUUCUAAAAUAAUGUUUGUUUUGGUUUACAUCUAUGAUUUAAUUAUUAGCAAAAUUUAAAAACAAAAACUAAUUCUUUGGUUUCAAAACUUUGCUUGAAAUAGAAACAUAAUUUUCAAAAAUCAAAUUCUAUAUUCAUCUCUAUUCCAGGACGCUUUGAACUGUCCUACAAAAAAUCUGCCUUCCAAAAGAAAUUAAUAUUUGUUUUCUCAUGUUCCCUGUCCUCUUGUUAUCAUUUAAAGAAAUAAUAAUGCAUGAUCUUUGUUGAGUAGUCAUAUUAAAUUUACAACUCCAUGAUUCUCAAACUUAAUAAAUCUUGCUCUUUUGCAUUCCUCGAGAAGGGAAAAUACAGAUCAGAAUAGAUGUGACAUUAGCAGAGAUGAAAGUAACAGACAACAGAGCAAAAUUUUCAAAAGGUCUCGAUGAUCGGGUCAUCAAGAUAAUAGACUUUGGUAUGUUGCUUAAAAGAUUAGCAAAGUUUUUGUCGUUUAAUUAUUAUGGCAGUAAAAAAAGAUUCAUUUUUAAUUGCAGAUUAAAGAAUAAAGCAAAAAGAAGAAGUAACCUUCAUCCCAGGCAUUUGGACCCACUCCACAGCAGUUCCAGUAGCCUUUGAAAGAAACUCUGCUAAAGUCUCCUCCGCAAUGGACAAAAGUCUAGAAAUAUGCAAACCCAAAGUCUCAGAAAGCAUAUUACAGAAGAAGAGUUUCUAACACAAAGAACAACACAAGAAACAAAAGGAGAUUGAAGGGAAUGGUAUAAUGAUCAAUAAGAAAUGCUAAUUCUACUAACCCUGCGGGACUGGCAUCCUUUGGUGGAUGCGGCGGAGUCAAAUUCUGCUGACCACUUGUCACCACUGACUCGCAACUUGUGUCAGUGGUGGCUAAGGUCGCCUGCAAGAUGAACAAAUUACUUUCAUUUCAGCUGAUAAGAAAUGUAUUUUUAAUUCAAAAAAGGGAAAUAGCAAAAUGAAAUCAGUAAUCAUCUUCUUCAAACGAGCAAUUAUUUCAAAGUCAUGGAAGAAUGUUCUUACAUUCUGGGUUUGUUGACGAAAAUAGCUGUUCUCAUACACAAGCUGUGACACUUGUUUCUGCAACCUAUCGUUUUCCUCCAUUAGGAGUCUAUUCAUAGCUGUCAGUUUCCUGUUCACAGUUUGAAGGCGUGAUGCUUCCUUCCUCUGCUUCUCUCUACAUCUAUACAGUAUAAAAAUAAAAAAAACAAAUGAAACCUCUGUUCCGGAAACAAAAAUUUAGGAUGUUGGAAUUUCAAAAUUGUAACCCACUAUCAAAACCCAGAAAGGAAGGAAAUAAUUAGAAAGAAUACCUCCGAUUUUGGAACCAAACUUUGAUCUGUUUGGGUUCGAUGUUGGAGAGAAUUGGGCACUCCCUUAUAAGCUGUUGGCGGCGCAUAGAACUGGGUUUUGGACAUUCAUAAUAAAGCCUCUCAAGUGCUUCCACUUGCUCCGGUGUGUACCUAACGUACUUCCCAUUAUCCAAGCUGCUCAUCUUGCUAGCAGCGUCCUUGCAGGCAGAGGUUACAGCCAUCAUCCCCACUUAAAAUUCCCAUACAAAAAAACAAACAAACACCUUUCAGCUACCAAAUAUCUUAGCAAAAGAAGACCAAACAAAGAAUAAAAAAUUACCAGAAAACGAAGACGACCCUUUUUAAUCGAAGCAGAGUUGCAAUGAAUCAAACACAACCCCUCUGUUUUUCCCUUCCCCCCUCCCUUCCACCCACCAACUCAUAUAAAACACAAAAUGGCCAUAAGAGUCCCAAAAAAUCAGCCAAGAAUGGUCGAAGAAAUGUUAAGGAUAUGAAGAAUUGUGAAAUGAAAAUGAAUAAAGUUGGAAGUAUAAGUAACAGGUUUGGCAGAAAGGAUCAAUUCAUAGAAUACUCUGUUGAUUUUGCUGCGAUUGUGUGUUUGUUUGUUCGUGAAAUUUGGUUUGGCAAUCUCCCACUAUGGACUUCACUAAAUAAGAUUUUAUGGUCUCCCCUCUCCCCUCUCCCCAGUGUGUUUUUCUUUCUUUGUGUUCUCGAGAGAAUGAAAAUGGCAAUCUACCGCGUGCUCAAAUAGUAAUAUAAAUUUGAAAAAGUGAGUUUAUAUCCUAUUUCCGUCACCAUCAUCUAUACUUUUAGUUUUUGUCUAUUUCCAUUUUUUCUAUUCUCAAAAAUCUUUGCUUUGCUCUCCUUUUCUCUUUUUUUCUCUUUCUCACCCACUUUCUUGUCCACUCCUAAAAUUACAUCUUUACACUUUGAGUACAAUUCAAUUUAUAUGCCUUCAAAUAUCAUCACUCCUUUAAUCCAUUUCAAAAAUCUCUCUCUCUCUUCAUUUUUGUGAAGAACACGGCUGACUAACCAACAUUCAACCCACUAUCAUCCAUUUCAAUUCUAAAGUAAUAAACAUUAAUCCAACUUUUAAUCGAUUUAGAUUUAGAUUAAAAGGUUCAUUUCAAUUUUUCUCACAUCCACCAUCGGUCGAACCUAUCUUAUUUAAUUAGAUUCGUUUUAGUUGGUUGACUCCGUUUUUUAAAACUAUACAAUAUACAUAAAAUGAUACUACUAGUAGUAUGAAAAUAUUAUGAAAAAAAUCUAGAGGUGAUCGGUAUUCUUUAUUUUAAAAAUAAUUAGUUAACAUAUUGAAUAUAAGUUCAAACAUUUUGAACACAACCUCUUAAUUAAUAGUUUAGAGUUAAUCUCCAUAAUUGGUAUUCUUUAUUUUUAAAACAAUCGUUUUCUAUAGAUUUAUUUUCCUUUUAAUCUCAAGUUUCUUUCAAUAAUUAAAAAAACAAACGGAUAUACCUUUUUACCAAAAGAGUUUACAUAAUUUGUAUUCCAUUUUAUAAAUAUAGAAAACCAAAACAAUUGAUUUAUUUUGGAAUGUUGUCAACGAAAUCGACAUUUGAAAAGUAUAUAAACUUUUCUAAAUUUAAAAAGAAACCAUAAUAAUCUAAAUAUUUUUUAGUCGAAUUACAUACAAAUGAUAUAUUCAAACAUUUGAUUUAUCAUACGUGUAGAGUAUCGAAUAGACCGAAUGAAUUAUUCGAACAACAUUAGUGUUAGAGAAGACAAUGUUAUUUAAAUGGUCCAAAGAAAAAGUCAUAAAUGCACAUUAAUCUAUAUAUAUAUAUAUAUUGUUUGUAGCAUUAAAAUUUGAAUGAUUGGAAAAUGAUUCAAAAGAGUUGGGUGAUAGGAAAGGUGGGGUUGGCAUUUUCAAAGGGAAAGAAAGAAAAAAGGUGAUAGAAAUAGAAAUUAUUUUUGGUGCCUUCUUGAUGGGAUAUAUAUAUAUUCAUUAUAUCAUAUCCCUAACCAACUUAAUUUAACUAACUAAGCUUUGAUCACCAUCAAAAUUAGGGACCCAAUUCAUUGCUUAUUACUCAAAUCAUCUACAUAUUUUCUUCUUAAAACUAUAUAUCUAUAUAUAUAUAUAUAUAUAUAUAUAUAUAUAUAUCUUACAAACGUUUUAUCAUGUGAUUCUAUUUCAUUUUGUUACCACAAUUAGUGCAUUAAAAAAUGAUAUCAUGAAGUUGAAUUUGUGUAUCAUAUGACUUGUUGGAUAUAUAUAAGUUGACAAACCGAAUAUCUUAAUUAACUACAAAUCAAUGGUUUGAUUGACUCUUUUAAUUAACAAACAAUUGAAUUUUGAUGUCUCCACUAAAUUAUUAUUAGACAAUGUUUUGAUGUUAAUUAAUACAAUUAAGUCUACUAAUUUUAAAAUUAUAACACUUUUUAAAACUCUACUUCUCCUUAAGAAAAAACUCGUGGUUUUAUCACUCGUAGACGUACGUUUUGUAUUGUUUCUCCUCCCGCAUCAUUAUUAAAAGUUCAGUUUAUCGUAAUGUUAGUUAUUUUUCAAUUUGGUCUAAAGACGACGACACUCAACUAGCUUUUAAUUCAAAGAUAAGAAGUGUUACAAGGGGAUCAUCAUCGAUCGAGUCCAUAACUUUUUAGUCAUUUAUCAAAAAUUUGUCUCGUUUUUAACUAACAACAAUAAUAAUAAAUAGUAGAAAUUAAUAUAAGAUUGUAAAGAUUAGAACCAAAUGUAUUCACCUAACUUUUGUUGAAAUUAAUCCUAAUAAUUUAUGCAAACAGUAACCCCCCUUGAUUAAUGGGUCAUUAAGCAGACAAUGGCAGACCAAACCAAAUGCUGCUUUUUCAUUCCUAUUUCUUAUUUUUGUUUAUUUAAAUAUUUAUAUAAACACUUAAAAUAUUUUAAUAAUAGAUAAAUUUUGCUAUAUUUUAUCUAAAUAUUUUAUUAUUUAAAAAAAUUAUUAUAUAAAUAGGAUAUUGAAAAAAAAGCAAAUCCUAAUCUGACCAUAAAAGAAGGACUCUAAGUUUUAGUGUAUGAAUUUAAAAUGAAGUAUUUCUUUGUUUGUAGGCCACACCACUUUGCAACUAUUAUUAUUAUUUACAUUGCACUUCUAGUUUUAAUAUUCAUAAUGUGCUCAAUUAUUAAACAAAUUAUAUAAUUUCCAAAUGAAAAGAAGGCAGCUUGAUCCAUCUGUGGUUUUCCUUUUGAAAUUAAUUUUUGCACAAAAGCUAUCUACUUGUCCUUUUAAUUAAUAUAUAUUGAUUUCUUCUCAAUAAAUUAUUUGCACGGUGGAACCUAUUUAAUUACAUUUUUACUUUUAUAUUUCAAAAAAAUAAAAAAAAUUAAAGAGAGUUGUAUUUUAAAUUAUCUUAUUAUAUCAACAAUUGGUGUUUUAAGAAACUUGUUUUUAAAUAAUCAUAUUAUGUGAUCAAUUUUCUUUAACUAAAAAUAUCAAUUUAUAAAAUAUAACAUUAUUUUUAGAUUUUAUGGAUGUUUAUUUGUAAUAGAUUUUUUUCUUUCUUUUACGUGGUAAUUAUCCUAAAAACAAUUCUUUAAUCACCCAAUUGUGAUUAAUAUUUUAUAAAAAUAAAUGGUUGGACUUUCAAAGGUGGUCCAAAUUUAUAGAAUAAUAUAUUAAAAAGAAAAGAGAGGAAUAUACAUCAUUUAAAUAAAUAAUCUUUUCAGAUUCAAUUUCUUGUUUAUUGAUUCACUCAACUACACUUAUCAAAUCACAAAACUAUAUAUAUAUGUAGUCAAAUUGAUUGAGAUAGGAGUUCGAGGUGUAAUUUAGAAAAAAAGUAUUAAAAAAAUUACAUAAAUAAGACUUGACAAAUAUAAUUACUAUUAAGCUCUCUACAAAUAUUAAAUAUUAAUUAAUUUUUUUAUACAUGAUAUAUAUAUAUAUAUAUAUAUAUAUAUAUAUAUAAUAUAUAUAUAUAUAUAUUAUAUUUUGUCCUUCUCCCGGGUGUUAAGGUGAAUAAUUAUUUCUUUCAUUUGUCAAAACGAAAUGGUUUGACAUCCAAAUUUAUUUUGAUUUAAAAAGGAAAAAAAAGGUAAAAUAGUAUUGAAAAAGAAGAGAAGGGGAAUUGGGAAGAACGUGAAGAGAAAGGGAAGGUGUGUGUGUGUGGACCACACGUGUGGACCCGAAAGAAAGGAUUGGGGGAGGGGGGAGGGAAGCAGUAAGCACGCGUGACAUUUGUUAACUUUAUAAUCGUGCUCCCAAUACUCUAAUUCAAAAGCAGUGCGCUUUCUUUCACAAAUACAAAUACAAAUACAAAUAAACCCCCAUUUUUUUUCCUUUGAAUAUAUAGUCCAUGAAAUAUUAAAAUGAAAUUAGAAGAGAAGGCAUUUUAAGAUUGGAAAAGAAAUAGAAGAGGUAGAGGUAGAGGUAAAAAUAAGAGAGGUGAGAGGUGCGAGGUGCAAGGUGCGAGGAGCGGCGCAUGUAAGAGAUGGGGAAGGAGAAAAGAGGGAAUGAUAGAAGGGGACCCAGAAGGGGGGUGUCGCUUCUUUCGGCGUAUUAGAGUUUGCGCCAAAAGACCCGUAAGGGACAUUCUUAUGGGUAUGUGGGGACGUUGUGUUUCCCCAUUUUUAUGUAUUUACCCUCUCAAACUUUUAAGUCUUAACACACACAUUUACACUCAAAUGUAAAAAUAAAAAAGAACUAUCUUCUUAAUUUAAAAUAUUUCUGUUCCUUAAUUACCUAACAACUUUCACUUAUUCUACCCUUUGUCUCCUCCUUGGGGUUUUCCCAUAUAUUCCCAACCCUCAAAAUUAUAUCUUUUACUUCACAUCAACAUAACACACACAAACACACCUUUUUCCUUUUCUUUUUCUGGAUAUAUUUACCACUUCUCAACUCAAUUUUCAACUAACCUUACGUGGGAACCAAUCGAGCUAUGCUAAAUAUGCAAUAUAAACCAUAGAGGAAUGGAGGGUGUUUGAUUUAAUUGUGUUUGUGAUUUGUAUGAGAUUCAUUACGUUUAUGGUUAUUGUUACCAACCAUGUUAGAUUUAUGAAUCUAACAUAUUUUAUUUGUACCUUUAAAUUUAUUUGUUUUUGUGUUAGGGUUAAACAAUAACAAUAAGUAAACAUGAACAAAAGUAGUGCAAUUAUGUUUUUCAAUUCAAACUCGUUACAAUUUGAUUCUAUCAAUUGAACAGUGAACAUGGUUUGAAUUUUAAUUAUAUCUAAUAUCACGUUUUCUAAAGCUUUAUGAGUGAAUUUUUUCAAGAAGAUAAAUUCAAGAUAUAUGUUAGAUUUGGAGAUCGUAUAAGUUAGUAUGAUGUAAUCAAAUCAAGAUCUACAGCAUCUUAAUUUUAAAAAACCCAACAAAUCAAUUUUUAUGUUGAGAAAAUAUCAGAAUUCAAAAUUCUCAGGUUGUGGUUUUAAAGUAUCAUUUUUUCAAUGUUUUUAGAUCAAGCAUUUUAAACAACAAACCAUUGUAGAAUAAUGAUUGUUUUUCUUUUUCUAAAAAAUAUGUAUUGCUUUUACAAAAAGAAAUCCAAUCACUUUCCUCCUAAAUCAUCAGCUCACCAAAAAAAAAAAAAAAACACCAACAAAAAUGAAAUUAAAACAUUAACAAACUUUUAAUUCCAAAUAUAUAACUUUCAACGGAAUUAGAUUCAAAAGGCUAUUAUAGGAACAAUACAAAAUUUUAUUUUGAAGAUCUCUCAGCAUCUGAAUGAAAAUUAGUGUAAUUGUAAUGUUAGUCAAUCUAAAUGGCUUAUUGUUGUUCUAGUUCUCGUUCUUUCAAAUGGGACCCAUUACUACUCAUUUUGCUGUCUUUCAUUCCCAUGCUUUCUUCAGAUUUUGUUCCCUCUGUGUUCCUACGUUUAUUCAAAUCAUUGGUGACGUUUUUUUCACAAUGUUUUUUAAAUUUUAGACUGAAGUUUUGUGGUUUUUUAGUCCAAUGAAAACGGGUUUCAAAAUUAAGGAAGAAGACGUGAUUCUUAAGUUUAAAAAGACUUCAGUCUCUGCCGCGCAUGCCGUUAACGACAGCUAACAAAGAAACAACAUUAAGUCCUGACUCUCUUACAAACCUUUAAUAUAUGUGUGUGUGUGUGUGAGAGAGAGAGAGAGAGAGAUUAGAACCUUCAUUUUCAAUAAUAUGGGGGACAUGAUUUCAACUGCCAAUGAGUAAUAAACAAGAUUAAUUUCUGUUACAAAUUAUAUCAAAUUCACAAGGGGAGAGAGAGAGAGAGAGAUUAGACAGAAUUGGAAUCAGGUUGUGUUCAGCAAUCUUGAGGUUCAAUUUUUCAGUCGCACAACUUUUAUUAUAAGAUAAAAUAAGAACAAACGAAUGUGGCAAUCAUUAUAAUAUAACCAAUUCUUCUUGUACCCUAUUUAGUUUUUAAAAAAAUCAAAGUUACUUGAAGACAAAACUGCUUCUGCUUGUAAGCUGUCUAACGUGUUCUUCAGGGUGGUGUAAGUUCAUGACAACGACGUUGUUUUGAAAAUAACAUUAAUGAUAAUAUGACUUCUUCCCAUACACAAGUCAAGAACAAACAAAGAUGUGAUAUUGAGAACCUAAUAAAGUCAAUAAAAGUGGCUAUCAUUGAAUUUGUUGUAUUUAGUGAGGGUGAUUUCAUAAGGAAUUUGGGUUCCACUCUCCCAUUUGGAAUGGAAUUCCAUACAUUUGCAUUACUUCAGGUUCAAAAUCGGUCCAGUAUACAACUUUACAGAACUCUCACGACACAAAUGAAAAAACUCAGGAUUGAAAUGUCAGUUUAUAAUUGAGCUUGCAAUUCGAACCCAAUACAUGAAUCAUGAUCGAAUUCUAUUCUCUCAGGAUAUUAUAGCUAACUAACUAACUAACUCAUAAGGAAUAUAGAUCCCAUGAAGCGAGAAAGAAAGAAGAUAAGCUGCUUGGUUGAAUGAAGCACAACCUGAUGAUGCCUAUUAUUUUCCAUAUGCAUACUCAAGUAGACGGCGAUCAAGGUCAAAAUGCCUGCAGAGAAGUCGCUGCAAAAAGAAAGAACCAAGAAGUUAAGAACAGACUACUUGGAUCACAAAAAGAAGCUAACUCAAUCUAUUGGUUGAAACAUCAAUAGAAAACCUCCUAGCUAUAGAAGGUGAUCCUCCAACAUCAUUCAUUGAAACUUGAAAGUCUCCGCGUAUAGACAUUAAGUAGGCCAUGUAUUUGGAAUAGAUUGGCUAAUACUAAUUAUAAUUUCAACGUAAUAGUUAAGGAAUACACAUUAAGAAUAAAUUUAGGUUGCUUCAAUUCAGAAGCAAUCUCGAGGAUGAUUUUGAUAUGCAUUAGUUUUGUUUAGUUGAAUAUUAACAUAACUAGGAUGAGAAUUCAAACCAGCUUCAAAGCACCUUCAUUAUUCACAAAGACAAUCCCACCAAAUUUGGUUGUCCAUGGCAGAUAAAGAAAAUUUCAGAAGCAGUAAAAUUCAUGAAAUAAAUGGUGAAUCAGUUUUAACUUUUCGCCUUCUUUUUUUUCUUUCCUUCUUCUAAUUAUAACUGAAAAUAAUAUUUGUUGCGAAAAAACUAAAAAGAUGAAAAUGAAAAUUGCCUGAUUGCAUCCUAAAAGGGUCUGCUAAUUUCACGAAUAUAUAUUGUUAAACGGUAGAAAAGAGAACACAGGUUUACGUGGAAAAACCCCAGAACAGGGAGAAAAAAUCACGAUAGAGACUCUUUUAUUAUUUUCACACACAAUGAAAGUUACAAGAGAAGACAACUUUAUAGGCUAUAAACUUAGGGAAUAAAUUUAGGGUAAAGUAAAAUAUUAAAAUACCUCAAGGCUAUAAACUAUCAACAAAGCCUCUUAUUUCCAAUGUACAUUAUACAAACAUACAUAUACAUACAUAUAUAUGUAUGCGUGUGAUACUUUGAAGUAGUAUCUUACUCUCAAAGAAAUGUGGGAAAAAGUCGACGUAAUAUUAUAUUAACAGGCAUUACCUACGUAAUAAAAGAAAUAGCAUCAGUAUGCAUUUUACACGAACUAAUGCAAGCAUGUUGUCUUCUCUAAUUAUCUGAAUUUGUACGCCCAAAAACAUUAACACCCCCAAAAGAAGGUUACCUUGGUUAUUGGAGGGUAUGAUUUUACUUCAAAAUCCAAAUCUGGAAGGCGAGCAAUCUCAGCUGCAUUCUCAAAUAAGAUAUAGGUAGGAAGCUGGUUCAUACUUCCUGAUAAAUUCAUUCGGAAGUUAUAAGAAAUUCUGAUUGCAAAGUCUUCACAAAACUGAAAAACAGCGUUCAAAUUUAGAACGAAAUCUUAAGACAAUUACCACCAAGUGAUAUUCCAAAUUUAGCAGCAACAUUUGGAAAGAGCCCAAGAUCAACUACUCCAAACGAUAGAUGUUUGUUUGAAUAUCUGCUUAAGAAGACGUGAAUACAAAUCUAAGCUACUUCAAGCAGAAAGUGUGAACAUAUGGGGGGAGGAGGGGAAAUUAGAACUACAAAAACAAUAUCGGUGUUUCAGAUCCAUGGAGUCAAUCUAGAAGUCUCAAGGGUGAAGAUUUCCAGGAUUUCAUAUGUGAAACAUGAAAAACUUUUAUAUUGAAUUUCAACAGAAAAGAUGUCACAAAAAAUAUAGAUUAGAAAAACUACUAAUACAGAAGCAACACAACUUCUUAUAAAUUUCUCUCCCUGAAUCCAUGAACAAAGUAAAAGGAGAAGUACUUACGUAACUGAUAGCUCAGGCAAGCAUCUGCUAGACCGUAUGCAAUCAGCUGAGAAAGAAACACGAAACUCAACCUACCAAUUCAAGGAAGCCAUUCAUUAAAGACUGAAGAAAAUGAGAGUUCUGCAUACAUGAUAAAAUGACAUACAGAUUAUUAGCAUUUGAACUUGUCAGCACAUUUACAGUUGCUCAAAGGUUCAAAUAUGGAUUUACGGACUUGCAGAUGUUGAUUCUCAAUUACUGGAAAUAAAGUUAAUUCUGAGGACCAAGUCAAUAGAUUCAAGUAAACAUCCCAAGAAAAAAAAGAACAGGAAAUUAAUUUUGAUGCUGGGAAUAUUAUGAAAAUUUCUACUGCACUAAAUUAUUCAACAGCUUGAUCUUCUUUACAUAAUCAUUAACUUAUUACUCUCAUUUUCUUUUCAUAAUCUAAAAGUGUCUAUGCCACCUUGCAGGCAUCUCGAAUAUACUCACAUGACAAUGUUUUACCCUAUUAUGUUUGGUUGCCAAAGUAACUCGUAAAAUAUUCAAUCCAAGUAGGUAGCUACCUAAAAAACACAAACAAAUUAGUUUGGGUAACAUGUUUGUGUAAGACACUUGGUCACUCCACACUUGUUGGACAUGAGUUGGACACUUGUUACCACAGUAGAUAUGUGUUAAACCUUAGGUGUACAAAGCCAAUAUGAGUCUAACAUUUGCUGGACACAUAUUGAGUACAUGUUAAGCAUAUUAAAUAGAAAAGUAAAAGUAUAGGAAAAAAAAACAAUGAAUUUUAAAAGAUAAAUACAUCAAACUCCUCAUUAAAGCAUACAAGUGCAUAAACUUGUUGACUUUGAGUUUUCUUCAUCUAUAUAUAUUUUCUUGAGAAUGUAUAUUUAGACAAAAUGUGUGUUGUUGAGGGUUUGUGUGGCUAUGUCCUACAUUUUUUAAAAAAGGCAUGUCAUCUAAGCCGCAUGUCACAUCAACAUCGACAUAACACAUCAUUUAAAAAAAUUUAAGACACAGAUAUGACAAGAACACGUUUAUUAAAACAAACAUUUUAAAAAUAUAAUAAUAUUUAAAAAUGAAGGAGAUUCAAAGUCAAUGAGUUGAUUCAUGUCCUCGCUUAAAAAAUUAAUUGGAUACAUUUUGCUCUCAAAUUUUAUUAUUUGUGUCAUAUAUGUGUUGGCUUGGUGUAUGUGAGAAGUGUUUGAUGCAUGUCUACCAAAUAUUGGUUCUAUUUUGACUUUGCACAACUAGUGUCUAACACACCUAUUGCACUAAAAAGUGUUUGAUACGUGUCUGAGAAUUGUCCAACACAAACAUGCUAGCGAAAGUGAAGUGUUCGUGUUUAUUAUCAUGUCAUUGUAUUCGUGUGUUGUGCCAGAUAUGAGUCUUGUACCCAUAGUUGUGCUUUUUAGAUGCAAUGGUACUUAACCUCAUUCCUUCUAAGCCCUUUAAGUAUUUACAUUGCCCCUAUUCAUCACUAGGCCAACCUAUCCC